ACCCCUCCGGGUGUAGUGCGCACGCAUUCGCCACCGUUAUCCCAUCUUCCGUUCUCAAAAUGGUCAGGAGAAAAGGAUCGGAACACAACGGUGCCAGUGAAUCCAGGAAAAGGGCGCGCUGAAACCACCAUUGACCUGAAAAUCAUGAAACAAUCCUUAUGAAAAAUGGCACCAAAAGCUGCAAACAAGGCAUCCUUCAUAGGAUCACAAUCAAUCAACUUGAUAUGGAAGCAAAUUAAUACAAAGAAGAGAUUGAAACUGGUUGCGAGAAAUUGAAUCUCCUGCGAAAACAACAGAGCGACCACGCAUGGUGCUUAAGAAAGCUCGGGCGUCAAUUCUAGGU
Non-coding RNA from Physcomitrium patens, 343 nucleotides. Lineage: Eukaryota; Viridiplantae; Streptophyta; Bryopsida; Funariales; Funariaceae. The record is from RefSeq and is a predicted model, not a curated record.